GCGGACGGGUGAGUAACACGUGGGUAACCUGCCUGUAAGACUGGGAUAACUCCGGGAAACCGGGGCUAAUACCGGAUGCUUGAUUGAACCGCAUGGUUCAAUCAUAAAAGGGGGCUUUUAGCUACCACUUACAGAUGGACCCGCGGCGCAUUAGCUAGUUGGUGAGGUAACGGCUCACCAAGGCGACGAUGCGUAGCCGACCUGAGAGGGUGAUCGGCCACACUGGGACUGAGACACGGCCCAGACUCCUACGGGAGGCAGCAGUAGGGAAUCUUCCGCAAUGGACGAAAGUCUGACGGAGCAACGCCGCGUGAGUGAUGAAGGUUUUCGGAUCGUAAAACUCUGUUGUUAGGGAAGAACAAGUACCGUUCGAAUAGGGCGGUACCUUGACGGUACCUAACCAGAAAGCCACGGCUAACUACGUGCCAGCAGCCGCGGUAAUACGUAGGUGGCAAGCGUUGUCCGGAAUUAUUGGGCGUAAAGCGCGCGCAGGCGGUUUCUUAAGUCUGAUGUGAAAGCCCCCGGCUCAACCGGGGAGGGUCAUUGGAAACUGGGGAACUUGAGUGCAGAAGAGGAGAGUGGAAUUCCACGUGUAGCGGUGAAAUGCGUAGAGAUGUGGAGGAACACCAGUGGCGAAGGCGACUCUCUGGUCUGUAACUGACGCUGAGGCGCGAAAGCGUGGGGAGCGAACAGGAUUAGAUACCCUGGUAGUCCACGCCGUAAACGAUGAGUGCUAAGUGUUAGAGGGUUUCCGCCCUUUAGUGCUGCAGCAAACGCAUUAAGCACUCCGCCUGGGGAGUACGGGUCGCAAGACUGAAACUCAAAGGAAUUGACGGGGGG
This 840-nucleotide ribosomal RNA is filed under the name Bacillus sp. DWR10. RNAcentral describes it as "bacterial SSU rRNA". It matches the Rfam family "Bacterial small subunit ribosomal RNA", at positions 98 to 920 of the family's 1533-position model. The record is from RNAcentral. Lineage: Bacteria; Bacillati; Bacillota; Bacilli; Caryophanales; Bacillaceae.